RNAcentral lists this non-coding RNA (118 nucleotides) under human gut metagenome. Its description in RNAcentral is "FMN riboswitch (RFN element)". It matches the Rfam family "FMN riboswitch aptamer (RFN element)". From Rfam's summary of the family: The RFN element is a highly conserved domain that is found frequently in the 5'-untranslated regions of prokaryotic mRNAs that encode for flavin mononucleotide (FMN) biosynthesis and transport proteins. This element is a metabolite-dependent riboswitch that directly binds FMN in the absence of proteins. The record is from RNAcentral.
UAUCUUUGGGGACAGGUGUGAUUCCUGACCGGUGGUAUGCGGUUUAGCCGUAAGCCCACGAGCGAAAGCUGAUUUGGUGAGAUUCCAAAGCCGACGGUAAAGUCCGGAUGAGAAAAGA